Molecule: small RNA, 330 nt
Filed under: Histoplasma ohiense
Lineage: Eukaryota; Fungi; Ascomycota; Eurotiomycetes; Onygenales; Ajellomycetaceae
Description: hypothetical lncRNA
Source: RNAcentral
CAGGUGUCAGCCGGUUUGUCUUGCAAGCCUCCCAAUCAGUGUUUCAUGGUCCGGAAAAAUAUAUCCAUGCAUGAGGCAAACAUCAAUGCUUCGGAAUCCCUCAUCGUAGAGGGUUUGGAGCUGUAUUUUUACGGCGCCUUCGGAUGGUCACCGUAAUAUCCGGAUCGCCUCCGAGGACAGACCACGUACAAUUUCUACAUCUGGGGGCGACUGGUCUCGUGAGAGUGUUGCUGUGAUAUGCCGUAUCGGAUCUUGUGUAUAGUCCUCCAGCGUAACUCGCUCGUCCACCUCGAUAACUUUUUCGUAUAGGACAUACGGUUUGCGAAUGGC